Molecule: ribosomal RNA, 433 nt
Filed under: uncultured bacterium
Lineage: Bacteria
Description: partial 16S ribosomal RNA
Rfam family: Bacterial small subunit ribosomal RNA
Source: RNAcentral
AGCGAACGCUGGCGGCAGGCCUAACACAUGCAAGUCGAACGAACCUUCCGGGGUUAGUGGCGGACGGGUGAGUAACACGUGGGAACGUGCCUUUAGGUUCGGAAUAACUCAGGGAAACUUGUGCUAAUACCGAAUGUGCCCUUCGGGGGAAAGAUUUAUCGCCUUUAGAGCGGCCUGCGUCUGAUUAGCUAGUUGGUGAGGUAAAGGCUCACCAAGGCGACGAUCAGUAGCUGGUCUGAGAGGAUGAUCAGCCACGUUGGGACUGAGACACGGCCCAAACUCCUACGGGAGGCAGCAGUGGGGAAUCUUGCGCAAUGGGCGAAAGCCUGACGCAGCCAUGCCGCGUGAAUGAUGAAGGUCUUAGGAUUGUAAAAUUCUUUCACCGGGGACGAUAAUGACGGUACCCGGAGAAGAAGCCCCGGCUAACUUCGUG